UCGGACUGUAGGCUGCAACUCGCCUACACGAAGUUGGAAUUGCUAGUAAUCGUGGAUCAGCAUGCCACGGUGAAUACGUUCCCGGGUCUUGUACACACCGCCCGUCACACCAUGGGAGCUGGUAACACCCGAAGUCAGUAGUCUAACCGCAAGGAGGACGCUGCCGAAGGUGGGAUUAGCGACUGGGGUGAAGUCGUAACAAGGUAUC
Molecule: ribosomal RNA, 208 nt
Filed under: uncultured bacterium
Lineage: Bacteria
Description: partial 16S ribosomal RNA
Rfam family: Bacterial small subunit ribosomal RNA
Source: RNAcentral